GGAGAGGUGCCGGAGCGGUCGAUCGGGACUGUCUUGAAAACAGUUGACCAUUCACGUGGUCCGUGGGUUCGAAUCCCACCCUCUCCG
RNAcentral lists this transfer RNA (87 nucleotides) under Candidatus Magasanikbacteria bacterium CG10_big_fil_rev_8_21_14_0_10_40_10. RNAcentral's name for it is "tRNA-Ser". It matches the Rfam family "tRNA". Rfam says of the family: Transfer RNA (tRNA) molecules are approximately 80 nucleotides in length. Their secondary structure includes four short double-helical elements and three loops (D, anti-codon, and T loops). Further hydrogen bonds mediate the characteristic L-shaped molecular structure. tRNAs have two regions of fundamental functional importance: the anti-codon, which is responsible for specific mRNA codon recognition, and the 3' end, to which the tRNAs corresponding amino acid is attached (by aminoacyl-tRNA synthetases). tRNAs cope with the degeneracy of the genetic code in two manners: having more than one tRNA (with a specific anti-codon) for a particular amino acid; and 'wobble' base-pairing, i.e. permitting non-standard base-pairing at the 3rd anti-codon position. The record is from RNAcentral. Lineage: Bacteria; Candidatus Magasanikiibacteriota.